UGACCUCGGAUCAGGUAGGA
Molecule: ribosomal RNA, 20 nt
Filed under: Plectosphaerella cucumerina
Lineage: Eukaryota; Fungi; Ascomycota; Sordariomycetes; Glomerellales; Plectosphaerellaceae
Also listed under: 3 other names
Description: partial 28S ribosomal RNA
Source: RNAcentral